This 255-nucleotide ribosomal RNA is filed under the name uncultured bacterium. RNAcentral describes it as "partial 16S ribosomal RNA". It matches the Rfam family "Bacterial small subunit ribosomal RNA", at positions 227 to 478 of the family's 1533-position model. The record is from RNAcentral.
GAGCCUAGGUCGGAUUAGCUAGUUGGUGAGGUAAUGGCUCACCAAGGCGACGAUCCGUAACUGGUCUGAGAGGAUGAUCAGUCACACUGGAACGGAGACACGGUCCAGACUCCUACGGGAGGCAGCAGUGGGGAAUAUUGGACAAUGGGCGAAAGCCUGAUCCAAACAGGCCGCGUGUGUGAAGAAGGUCUUCGGAUUGUAAAGCAAUAGGAGUGGGAGGAAGGGCAGUUACCUAAUACGUGAUUUUUGACGUAC